GGUUGAAUUCAGUGUCGUAGCAGGAAUUCUUAGAGCUGGCCGUCCCAAGAUGGGGUGGAGAGAGCGGCAUGAAAGAGAGAGAGAGAGAGAGACACGCCUGAAUGGCAGCAGCAGGCCUUAGCGGCAAAGGACAGCAGGCACAGGACCAGCUUUGCCUUGAGCCGCAACGCUGAUGCCAGAAAAGGACAACCUCUCCAGAAUCGCCGCAGUGUGCUUCC
This 218-nucleotide long non-coding RNA is filed under the name Gorilla gorilla gorilla (western lowland gorilla). RNAcentral describes it as "FTX transcript, XIST regulator conserved region 5 (ENSGGOG00000041114.1)". It matches the Rfam family "FTX transcript, XIST regulator conserved region 5". Lineage: Eukaryota; Metazoa; Chordata; Mammalia; Primates; Hominidae. The record is from RNAcentral.